Molecule: long non-coding RNA, 1807 nt
Organism: Panonychus citri (citrus red mite)
Lineage: Eukaryota; Metazoa; Arthropoda; Arachnida; Trombidiformes; Tetranychidae
Exons: 2
Source: RefSeq, a predicted model, not a curated record
UAUUUUUACCUGUUCUUUGGCUUUUUCUCUCUCUCUCUCCUGGUUGGUUUUGUGUGUGUUUAUUUUCUAGUUGGUGUUACUUUUCCUUAUUCUAUUAUCUGUUAACUUGAUCUUUUUUUUCUGUACUGUCAUCACCUUUCUGGUUAAACCUCGCCCGUUAACAUCGUCAUCAUUUGAUUUCUACUUUGAUACUUAUUGACUUUUGUGGAAUAUUUUUACACAUUUAAUUCUUUGAUUGGUGUUCCAUCCCCAUAUCUUCAUCAUUAAUCUCUCACUAGUUUGGUGAGUUGUAAUACUUGGGACGUUUUUUUUAAAGGAAGUUAAAACCAGUUAAUUACACCAAGAGAUCAUAUUUUCUUCCAUAGCUGAUUUAACCAUCACCGUAACUACAACAACAACUACCAAACAACAAACCAUUGUGAUUACUUUGAUAUUACUAUUAUUAUCUUCAUUUAUCAACUAUUAAUUCUUUACCCUGUUCAAUCCUGAUAAUUUGAAUCUGUUUCUCAACGAAAAUGGUUGAAAUAUCAAGUAGUACGAAGAAAAUUUUAAUCAUAAUCGCCUGUGUUAUGCUAUUUCUCUCAUCGGUACAAUUAAUAUACUCUAUUGCUCAUGAUGAUGGUGAACAAAUUGGCUGGACAGUGAUUAACCUUGUCGCUGAUUUAUGUUUCGUCAUCGUUAUUGUUAAACAAUGGGAAUUUGGUCUGAAAGUCUAUCGAAUUGCAAUGCAGGCAUUUGUUGUUCUAUCCAUAAUUGCCUUGAUCUUUUGUAUUUACAUCAUUGCCUCGGGUGAUGAGCGUCAUAAACAAGAUAUCGCUGAGAAAACAGUCUCUGUCAUCAUUGGUGCUGUUCUCUAUUCCAUGUUGGCUUACCUUCUCAACAAGUAUCUCCAUCAAAUUGAAUACAAUGAAGGAUAUACAAUCGCUUAAAUGAUGUCAUUCACAUUUUUUUUUCGUAUUCUCAUCAAGAUCAAAUCCGGAAUCAAAUACAAUACAAAAAAUAUAACGAUAUCCUUUCAAAGACGGAAAAAAAGCUUUACACCAGAAACAACCAAACCUUAAAGUCCAUUUCUGAUCUGACAAACGCAUUUAAACAGUAACAACAAAAAACGAAAACAGUCUAAUCUCAAAAGCAAUUUUCUCAUCGAUCUUUCAUCAAUGAGCCUUUAAUGACUCAUAAAUGAGCUAAUCUAAUUGAAUCAUCAUCAUCAGUAUCAUUCAUUUAUCUCCAUUACCAAAGCAAAUCUGCUGCUUCUCAAAUCAAAGUACUCAUCAUAAUUAUCUAUUUUCAUCUUUUAAAUUGGGUUAAUUUUUAUUUCUCCUCUUCAUCAAUUUUUAAUUGUGACAAAAUCAUUUUACCUUGGAAGAUGAUCCAUCAACACAGGAAAUUAAAUUGAUUGUAAAUUCAUCUUGGUUUUAACCAUGGGGACCAACAAGAGAGACGAUAUGGUUUCUGAUCAACUAAAUUUUACCGAUUUUAAUCAGACAACAUGAUAUUUUAAUGACUCAGGACGAUGAAGGAAACAUAUGAACAAUCAAUUUAAAUCAUUAAUUAUUCUGAUGAUCUUCAACUAACAUUGUUAAUUAUACUCUUUCUAUGAGCAGUUUAAUUAACAAUGUAAACACCAAGUCAAACAACAAAAUGUGGAUUCAGUUUCACCUGUAAUCAUAUAUAAAAUGAAUGGAUUAUCACAAUUAACAACUAUUUAUAUAUAUAAAUUGUUAAUCAAUCAGAAUAAUAAUCAUUGUAUAUAUAAAUUAACCAUUCUCAAUAUUUAUAAAUAUUAAUACUUUCGAUACUUUGUCAA